UUUUCUUUUUUUCUUUUUUUUUCCUUUUUUUUUCUGGUGAUUGCUUGAAGGUCUGAUCACAUUAAAUAGGAAGCUUGGCUCUUACAGCACUGGUCCCACCAAACCUUUUUCUCUUCCAAGGCAAAAUUUGGCCUUCAUGCUCAUGUGGACCCAUGCUACUACCUUUGAAGAUCAGCACUGCUAGUACAAGGAGGCAACUCCACUCUUCAUGAACAAGGGCAGCACACCUCCUGUACCAGCCAAAUGGUAGUUCAAGGGUGGAUGAAGGUGUGCCAUAGCUGGUUAUCCCCACGCCAUAUCUGAGUAAUUGACUCGCAGAUUUUGCACUCAGCCAUCCUAUGUUGCAGUUUGGACCACUUCUCCAGUUUUUCAAGAUGGCCUCUGGAGAAGCUUCCUUAUCCUGAAGUAGCACACAGCAGAAGAGCCAUGGAGCAUGGUUCUUUCUAGCCCGAGCUGCAGCAUGAGGCACAGAAGGGGCAGGACACAGGAAAGGAGAUGCUGUUACAGUACCAGGGUAUUCAGGAGUGGCAGAAUGGAAAGAAGAGACCAUCUUGUACUAUCCAACAGGAUAUUUUGUUAAAACUGACAUGGGGAUUGCCAAUGCCUUGCUUUCAAAACUGGGACGUUAAAAAGUACUUCACAUUAGGACAGCGUUUAUUUUGUUCUUCAGUGGAAAAAGUGAAACAUUCCUUAAUCAGCGAGGAAGCAUGCUUUCUGCAUACCCCUGCACAAAAUUUGGUAUGAGUUCAACAAAUGACAAUUCAGCUGCUGAAGCAUAACCAACUUGGACUGCUUUAGAGGUCUGUAUUUCACUUAUUCCGCUAUCUGUUUUAUUAUCCACUCUGCUAAGCUAAAUAUAGAAAGAAAGUAGGGAGAAGAAGUCAACAGUUCUGUAAGCCUAGAAAUGAUAGUCAAGAACAGCUAUGAUGAAGUUAAAAUUGUAUAUACUUAAACCAAAACAAAGCAUAUGUGUUGUAUUUCUGUAGAGCUUUCCAUCUGAGGAUCUCAAUCGUUUAUCCCAAUGAGCUUAAUGAAGGUAUGAGUUCACUGUAUACUGCAUACUGGGUAAUAUGCCAGAAGAAUAGCGCGUUUAAAAAGCUGGCAUUAUCUUAAGAGGUCUGUUUACAAAGAUACUUCAGGUUUAGUUUUUAGCCAUGAGUAUGUAAUGCGUAACUUUUUGAUGUUUCUCCUGAACUCUUCUCUUUUUCUUUCUCCAAGUUUGAUCACCUCUUUCUCUAUAGCCUCUCUGUUGAGGAGUUCGUCUGGCUUUUUUACUUGAAUCACUUACCUCUGUCCUUGCUGAGGUGAACUACAGACAAUUCUGUGCAGGAUCCUGACUUUUGUUGCCAGGCCAUUGAAGUCUUGCUGUUAUGUUGACCAGGCCAUUAUGUUGACCAGGGAAACUUGCUUCCGUUCUUGCUCCCAAGGAUAUAGGUGAGUGAUGUCUGAAGAGCAAUGAAGAACAAGUUCUGUUCUUCCAGGACUAGACUGGCAGUAGCAGGGACCAGUACAAUUUAAAUAGUUCUCUACUGAAAUACAGCUUCAGAAAUGUAGGGAAUUA
Struthio camelus australis is the source of this 1561-nucleotide long non-coding RNA. NCBI's taxonomy places the organism in Eukaryota, Metazoa, Chordata, Aves, Struthioniformes, Struthionidae. The record is from Ensembl.